Molecule: ribosomal RNA, 461 nt
Filed under: uncultured bacterium
Lineage: Bacteria
Description: partial 16S ribosomal RNA
Rfam family: Bacterial small subunit ribosomal RNA
Source: RNAcentral
CCUACGGGUGGCAGCAGUGAGGAAUAUUGGUCAAUGGGCUUACGCCUGAACCAGCCAAGUCGCGUGAGGGAAGACUGCCCUAUGGGUUGUAAACCUCUUUUGUCAGGGAGCAAUUGGCGCUACGUGUAGCGUUAUCGAGAGUACCUGAAGAAAAAGCAUCGGCUAACUCCGUGCCAGCAGCCGCGGUAAUACGUAGGGGGCAAGCGUUAUCCGGAUUUACUGGGUGUAAAGGGAGCGUAGACGGCAGCGCAAGUCUGAAGUGAAAUGCCGGGGCUUAACCCCGGAACUGCUUUGGAAACUGUGCAGCUAGAGUGCAGGAGAGGUAAGUGGAAUUCCUAGUGUAGCGGUGAAAUGCGUAGAUAUUAGGAGGAACCCCGAUUGCGAAGGCAGCUUACUAAACUGUGACUGACAUUGAUGCUCGAAAGUGUGGGUAUCAAACAGGAUUAGAUACCCUUGUAGUC